This 497-nucleotide ribosomal RNA is filed under the name uncultured bacterium. RNAcentral's name for it is "partial 16S ribosomal RNA". It matches the Rfam family "Bacterial small subunit ribosomal RNA", at positions 28 to 507 of the family's 1533-position model. The record is from RNAcentral.
GAUGAACGCUGGCGGCGUGCCUAAUACAUGCAAGUCGAGCGAACAGAUGAGGAGCUUGCUCCUCUGAAGUUAGCGGCGGACGGGUGAGUAACACGUGGAUAACCUACCUAUAAGACUGGGAUAACUUCGGGAAACCGGAGCUAAUACCGGAUAAUAUAUUGAACCGCAUGGUUCAAUAGUGAAAGACGGUUUUGCUGUCACUUAUAGAUGGAUCCGCGCCGCAUUAGCUAGUUGGUAAGGUAACGGCUUACCAAGGCAACGAUGCGUAGCCGACCUGAGAGGGUGAUCGGCCACACUGGAACUGAGACACGGUCCAGACUCCUACGGGAGGCAGCAGUAGGGAAUCUUCCGCAAUGGGCGAAAGCCUGACGGAGCAACGCCGCGUGAGUGAUGAAGGUCUUCGGAUCGUAAAACUCUGUUAUUAGGGAAGAACAAAUGUGUAAGUAACUAUGCACGUCUUGACGGUACCUAAUCAGAAAGCCACGGCUAACUACGUG